AUAUCAAUAAGCGGAGGAAAAGAAACUAACAAGGAUUCCCUUAGUAGCGGCGAGCGAAGCGGGAAGAGCUCAAAUUUGAAAGCUGGCGUCCUACGGGCGUCCGCAUUGUAAUCUAUAGAGGCGUUUUCUGUGCUGGACCGUGUCCAAGUCCCUUGGAACAGGGUAUCAAAGAGGGUGACAAUCCCGUACUUGACUUGGUCGAUCAUCAUGUUAGAAGGGCUUUUUCAACGAGUCGGGUUGUUUGGGAAUGCAGCCCAAAAUGGGUGGUAAAUUUCAUCUAAGGCUAAAUAUCAGCGAGAGACCGAUAGCGCACAAGUA
This 318-nucleotide ribosomal RNA is filed under the name uncultured eukaryote. RNAcentral describes it as "partial large subunit ribosomal RNA". It matches the Rfam family "Eukaryotic large subunit ribosomal RNA", at positions 40 to 350 of the family's 3401-position model. The record is from RNAcentral.